AAGCGGGGGAUCUUCGGACCUCGCGCUAUUGGAGCGGCCGAUGUCGGAUUAGCUAGUAGGUGAGGUAAAGGCUCACCUAGGCGACGAUCCGUAGCUGGUCUGAGAGGAUGAUCAGCCACACUGGGACUGAGACACGGCCCAGACUCCUACGGGAGGCAGCAGUGGGGAAUUUUGGACAAAUGGGCGCAAGCCUGAUCCAGCCAUGCCGCGUGAGUGAAGAAGGCCUUCGGGUUGUAAAGCUCUUUCAGGUGGAAAGAAAUAGCGCUGUUUAAUAGAUGGCGUUGAUGACGGUACCACCAGAAGAAGCGCCGGCUAACUACGUG
This 323-nucleotide ribosomal RNA is filed under the name uncultured bacterium. RNAcentral describes it as "bacterial SSU rRNA". It matches the Rfam family "Bacterial small subunit ribosomal RNA", at positions 202 to 507 of the family's 1533-position model. The record is from RNAcentral.